CAAGUUUCUCUCUUUCUCUCUCUAUAUUAUCGAGCGUAUUCUUGUGAGUAUACUUUGAGCAUUGCUAUACGGUGCAAGUUUAUGUCAGCACUAUACCGAAAUUCAGUCAGAAGUACGGUUAUUUUAAGGUAAGGGAUAUUAUUUUUUUCGUAAUAAUAUUAUUUCUUCAAUAUCAUUAUGCUGAAGUAUUGAUCUGAACUUUUUAAUCAAAUUUGGAACUUUUAGUGUCGGGGUUACUAUUCACGUAUACGGUACUAUUCACGUAUACGGCACUAUUCACGAAUACGGCACUAUUCAUCGAAAAAUGAAAAUUUUUCUUUUUAUCCAAAAUAUCUAUUCUGGAUACUAGCUUUGAUUGUAUCCAUAUUUUGAUCAUUCUUGAAUUUUACACCAAUAUGAUUAUUUUUGAGGUAUUUUUGGACAUGGGUAAAACAAAGUACGAAUCCUUAAUCAUUAAUCCUUGUCAUUUUGUUUCACUGGAUUCGUAUCUUUAAAAAUAAUUUUCAUCAUCCUCAGUCUUAAAUGAUGAUAUAAAUGAAUAUCUUUGGCCUGUAGUGCAAAGAUGAACGAUUAACUGAUGAAUAUCUUUGGCCUGUAGUGCAGAGAUGAACAGGUGUUGAGAUGAACAUAACCAACUGGUGAUUUAAAUGAAUAUCUUUGGCCUGUAGUGCAAAGAUGAAUAUUGAUUGUUGUUACAGGGAUAAAAUAUUGAUGAUGAACUUUUAAACCUUAGAAGACAGUAGAAUUCUUUCUCUACGUGACUCUUCUAAUGGAUUGCUGUUUCCGCUGCAUUUGUUGAUCUAAAACUUGUUGUCUAUUGUAUUCUAUUAGAUUUUUCCCUGUUGAAGACUAACGAUAAUUUGUUGUAUAUUAUCUUAGUCAUAAUAUUCUUUACUUGGCUAGUUGAGCUCACCCUUUUCCUUUUUGUUCCAUUUUUCUUCUCAGGAGGUGAGAACAUAGCAGGAUCGAGUCGGGGUAUGGAGUGAUGGUUCUAUGAAGAUGUUUUAGCUGUCCUCACUAUUUCUGUAAAAUAGUGUAUGAAUAAUUAAUGAGGACUUAUUUGGGUGUGUAUAUUAUUUAGAAGACAAUAUUUGUAUUCAAACUCAUAGUUGUAUUGUCGUAUUCUACACGACAUCUGUAUUGUCAAAGUUGUAGUUUGCUUUCUAUACCAUGUAUUUUGGCGACUCAGAAUGGGUGUUGUAUACCUAUUUUGGGGGCGUCACAUUGACA
This 1230-nucleotide long non-coding RNA is filed under the name Panax ginseng (ginseng). RNAcentral describes it as "long non-coding RNA (PGIN_LNC009125)". The record is from RNAcentral. Lineage: Eukaryota; Viridiplantae; Streptophyta; Magnoliopsida; Apiales; Araliaceae.